CAGAAAUCACCUGCCUUCUGCAUUGUUCUCCCUGGGAGCUGCAGACAGGAGCUGUUCCUAUUUGGCCAUCUUGCCUGGGAAUCCUCAUGUUGUUUCUUAAAGGAGAAGACCUAGUAAUAAAAACAGAAAUGCCUUUUAAAUAUUUUAACAAUGAUGGUUGAUAGAAAAGGUGAGGCUACACGGAACGGGGAGCUGGCUACAAAUCAAGAAGCGGGCCCUCACCAGACACUGCAUCUGCUGCCACCUUGAUCUUCAACUUCCCAGCUUCUAGACUGUGAGAAAUACAUAUGUGUUGUUUAAACUGCACCAUUUAUGGUAGUUUACUAUGGAAGCCAAAACUAAGAUAAAUAUGUUGAGUCACCCGUCGAUGAUGUGGACUGGCUGAUGGUGCUAAGAAUCUACCUCUCAAAAAGCUUUUACUCCUAACCUCCCAAGUAAAGACAUGCUAUUUUCAAGUUCUUUGUUUGGGUAUUUCAGGGAAGAUUACUCUCUUUACUGCCUUAGAGAUUCCCCUUUUUCAGAUCACCAGCGGCAUCAUGUUUUUCCUACUCUGCUAUACUUCUGAGCCUCUCACUGUUUGAUGGGCGGACCCAGUCCAUGAGACUGCCCUUGUCUUAGGCUGGACAGAGCCAUGCUUUCCAUGUGACAGUGUAUCAUGUAGACCAAGCAGUAUGUCGACACUUACCUGAGGUUCAGGUGUUUCCAUGGAAGCUAGGGCCACUCAUUCAGGUUACAUGCUUAAGGACAACAGGUGCAGUCUCUUGAUAUGUAGUCUUAUUACGAUCUUCCUACCACAAUCUCAUCCCCUAUCCAAGUCCCCUUAUCUCUCACGGACCACACAACUUUAAUUCUGCUUCCCAGACAACUAUGAGGAAAAGUUUAAGCUGUUAAAAAAAAGGAGUUGAGCUGCUGUAUCUUUGUAUUGAAAUAUAAACAAUUCAAAACUCAAACAGGAAAAAAAAGUUUUUUCUUUAUAUUUUGUAAUUGAUUAAUUCUGGGAAGGGAGCAAGCAUUAUUCAGUGUAAAAGGAGAUGUUCCACCUGUGCCUCCAAUAUUUCUCUACUUGUGGCUUUUGUGAUCUGUAAAUCCCAUCCCUCCUAGAUAAGCCAUAACUCUUUUGCUGCCCCAUCUCCAAGAUCCUAGAAGAAACUAAUCUGAUACAAUUGUAAACUUAAAUGUAUAUGUCCUUGGAGUACAGUGUAACCCAGAUAUAAAAUAUCCUUAUGAUUUUCUAAACUCCAAAAUACCACCCAGAGCAAGACAUAAAUAAUGAAAUUUAAGUGAGAAUAUUGCUCAGAUAUUUAUCUUGAGUGGUUACCUGGGCGCGUGCUCUCUCUCUCUCUCAUUGUUUUAAGUAUUUUUUUUUUCUGGUUGCAUAAUACAGAGUCAUGUAUUAACAAAAUGUCAAAUUGCCACAGGUUUUGGAAUCUUGUAGUAGCUUGUUGGCAAAGAGAUACAGCAGAGAGGCUACUGUGUUUUCAUUGUAAAAAGGAU
This 1494-nucleotide long non-coding RNA is filed under the name Homo sapiens (human). Its description in RNAcentral is "HSALNT0057005". The record is from RNAcentral. Lineage: Eukaryota; Metazoa; Chordata; Mammalia; Primates; Hominidae.